This 279-nucleotide ribosomal RNA is filed under the name uncultured bacterium. Its description in RNAcentral is "partial 16S ribosomal RNA". It matches the Rfam family "Bacterial small subunit ribosomal RNA", at positions 333 to 628 of the family's 1533-position model. The record is from RNAcentral.
GUACCUACGGGACGCAGCAGUGGGGAAUAUUGCACAAUGGGGGAAACCCUGAUGCAGCAACGCCGCGUGAGUGAAGAAGGUUUGCGGUAUGUAAAGCUCUAUCAGCAGGGAAGAAAGAAAUGACGGUACCUGACUAAGAAGCCCCGGCUAACUACGUGCCAGCAGCCGCGGUAAUACGUAGGGGGCAAGCGUUAUCCGGAUUUACUGGGUGUAAAGGGAGCGUAGACGGUUACGCAAGUCUGGAGUGAAAGGCGGGGGCCCAACCCCCGGACUGCUUUG